GAUGAAGAACGCAGCGAAAUGCGAUAAGUAAUGUGAAUUGCAGAAUUCAGUGAAUCAUCGAGUCUUUGAACGCACAUUGCGCCCCCUGGUAUUCCGGGGGGCAUGCCUGUCCGAGCGUCAUUGCCGCCCUCAAGCACGGCUUGUGUGUUGGGCCCCCGCCCCCCGGCUUCGGGGGGCGGGCCCGAAAGGCAGCGGCGGCACCGCGUCCGGUCCUCGAGCGUAUGGGGCUUCGUCACCCGCUCUGUAGGCCCGGCCCGCGCCCGCCGGCGACCCCAAUCAAUCUUUCCAGGUUGACCUCGGAUCAGGUAGGGAUACCCGCUGAACUUAAGCAUAUCAAUAAGCGGAGGA
RNAcentral lists this unclassified non-coding RNA (348 nucleotides) under soil metagenome. Its description in RNAcentral is "partial contains 5.8S ribosomal RNA, internal transcribed spacer 2, and large subunit ribosomal RNA". The stretch from base 1 to 120 matches the Rfam family "5.8S ribosomal RNA", at positions 35 to 154 of the family's 154-position model. The record is from RNAcentral.